AGUAAUUCUCUUAUCAUUUAAGAUCCUGAUUCAUCCUCACUGCCUGCAAUCUACUUAUUCCCCUCACCUGGUUUCCACAGGUGAGGGAACCAUCACCUUAUCGUGGUGGAGAGGUUUGUGUGUCCCUAUGAACCUGAGAGCUGUGUUGUCUGGAGCCUAGUGCUCCUGGUAGGGUCUCCCAAGGCAAAUUGGUCUCAGGUGAGGGGCCAGACUAAGAAUGGUUCAAAAACGACUUCAUGAAAGAAAGGGAAAGGAAAGGAGAGACCCUGCCCGGAGGAAGCCCGGGGCCCCCGUCUGGAGCCAGGCUCAGAGGGAGGGCCCGACAGCGAGCGCCUGGUGGCCGGGUUUGCCACGGAGCCCGGUCGGGCACAGCCCGAAGAAGCUACGUGGUGCCUCCCAUCCAUCCAUCCUGUGGGCCCACCACUCAUGGGAAAAACCGCUGGGGUCGGGUGCGCUGUCACACGGGUGGCAGUGAUGGUCAGGGACCUCGAUGGACCAGACCCGGGCAGCAGAGGCUGGCUCUGGGGACGUGGAACGUCACCUCUCUGUGGGGGAAGGAGCCGGAACUAGUGCGGGAGGUGGAUCGCUACCAGUUGGAUCUGGUGGGGCUUACCUCCACGCACAGUCUUGGCUCUGGAACCGUACUCCUGGAUAGGGGUUGGACUCUAUUCUUCUCCGGAGUUGCCCAAGGUGUGAGGCGUCGGGCCGGGGUGGGGAUACUCACUAGCCCCCGGCUGAGCGCCGCUACGUUGGAGUUUAUCCCGGUGGACGAGAGGGUCGCCUCCCUACGCCUUCGGGUUAUGGGGGGGAAAACUCUGACUGUUGUUUGUGCCUAUGCCUCAAACCGCAGUUCUGAGUAUUCGGCCUUCUUGGAGACCCUGAAUGGAGCCCUGCAGGGGGCUCCAGUAGGGGACUCCGUAGUCUUGCUGGGAGACUUCAACGCACACGUGGGAAACGAUGGAGACACCUGGAGAGGCGUGAUUGGGAGGAAGGGCCUCCCUGAUCUAAACCCGAACGGUCGUUUGUUGUUGGACUUCUGUGCUAGUCAUGGAAUGGCCAUAACAACA
This 1067-nucleotide long non-coding RNA is filed under the name Cottoperca gobio. RNAcentral describes it as "lncRNA (ENSCGOG00000003432.1)". The record is from RNAcentral. Lineage: Eukaryota; Metazoa; Chordata; Actinopteri; Perciformes; Bovichtidae.